Molecule: small RNA, 91 nt
Filed under: Escherichia coli
Lineage: Bacteria; Pseudomonadati; Pseudomonadota; Gammaproteobacteria; Enterobacterales; Enterobacteriaceae
Also listed under: 1 other name
Description: partial RtT sRNA
Rfam family: RtT RNA
About the family: This family represents a bacterial cis-regulatory element known as RtT RNA. The exact function of RtT is unknown although it is thought that it may be involved in changing the cellular response in relation to amino acid starvation.
Source: RNAcentral
UUCGACUUGAGCGCCAGCGAGAGAGCGUUGCCGCAGGCAACGACCCGAAGGGCGAAGCGCGCAGCGCUGAGUAAUCCUUCCCCCACCACCA